UACGUAGGGUGCAAGCGUUAAUCGGAAUUACUGGGCGUAAAGCGUGCGCAGGCGGUGAUGUAAGACAGGUGUGAAAUCCCCGGGCUUAACCUGGGAACUGCAUUUGUGACUGCAUCGCUGGAGUGCGGCAGAGGGGGAUGGAAUUCCGCGUGUAGCAGUGAAAUGCGUAGAUAUGCGGAGGAACACCGAUGGCGAAGGCAAUCCCCUGGGCCUGCACUGACGCUCAUGCACG
RNAcentral lists this ribosomal RNA (232 nucleotides) under uncultured bacterium. RNAcentral's name for it is "partial 16S ribosomal RNA". It matches the Rfam family "Bacterial small subunit ribosomal RNA", at positions 524 to 755 of the family's 1533-position model. The record is from RNAcentral.